This is a long non-coding RNA of Cottoperca gobio, 1654 nucleotides long. NCBI's taxonomy places the organism in Eukaryota, Metazoa, Chordata, Actinopteri, Perciformes, Bovichtidae. The record is from Ensembl.
CCAUGGAUGGCGUGUUAGAAGGAGCGGCGGUGUUGUGUGUGUGUAAGCUGGCCUGCAGUCUCCUCUCCCUGCCAUCAUUGGCUGCCUCCUGCAGUCUCGUCAGCUUCUGCUGCUGCUGCCUCCUGGUCUUCACCGACUUCCUGGUCACAGUUUUUCUAAGUUUCCUUUGCAUCUUUGAGUCCUGGCUCACUGAGCUGACCCCGCUAGGCGAUGUCAUCGCCCUGCGCUACCUGAUCUUUCUCAGCCACACAUACGGUGCGGUGUUGCUCCUGAUCACACCUCUGAUUGCUGUGGAGAUUCUGACCAGACUGCUGUGGCCUUACUGCGUUGUCGUUGGCAGGACAGCGAGUGUAACAGUGGGCUCUGAUGGACAUUGUAAUGUUGGCGAGGUAACUGUGGACGAGGAGGAAAGCAAAGACAACAAGGACAUAGAAAAGAGGUUGUCUCAAGUUGUCAGCUACCUCUGCUGCCUGUCAGUGUGGGUCACCGUUGCCCUCAAUGUCAGGUGGCGAUGGAAGCGGGAGGAAGUGUGGGUUGCUGCCUGUUUGCACACAACCAACUCCCUCAUCAGAUGUUUGCCCAACCUAUUCAGCCCCAUGCCCAGCAUUGUGAAUCCCUGCUGGGGCAUGGCCUUCCUCUCUUUCCUCCUGUUCUUCCUGACCACGAGCCUGGGCCUGCACAGACGAGACCGGGACCCUGCACAGACACACAGAGAGAAACAUGGAGUUAACAACAACGGUUACAGUUUCUGGCAAGAACUCGUUCCAGCGCCGUCUGCGUCCUCCAAGCCUGUGAACCCUGGGAUGUCUGAGUCAGAGCCAGCACAGUGUGUUGACCCAGAGAAAACAGAGAGCAGCUGCACUGUUCACAGAGCGUAUUCCUGGAACAGCGUGCAGAUGUCGGCGCAUCACCAUGGAGACUUUGUCCUCAUCUCCCCUGAAUGUUUGUCUGCAGAGAGAGGACAGGAGCACGAAAGGACAAAGAGAGGUAUUCCUCGUACAUAUAUCACGGAGGAGCAUGUGGACUCAAAAAAAAGGAGCCAUAGUGAGUGGCGACAGGGGGGUUUUCCCCGCCCAGGGGUGAAUGUAAUGAUAGGGUUGGUGGGUGUGCUCUCCAUCUUUGUGCUGCCUCUAAACCUCAGUGUGAACAUUCUUCUGAUCAGGACUAUAGAGACUCUGCUGGAGCUGUGUAUCACAUAUUUAGUUUCAUCUGCCGCAAACACAAGCAACGCAUCCACCUCUCACAAUGAAACACUUGUAUGAAGCCAGACGGGUGAGAAGCAAAAGUAGAUGCUGAUUGGACGCUAUUUGCAACAGGAUCACCUGAUUAAUAUUGUAUGUGUGCAGACAGCAGGUCUACCUGUCAACAGCAGUUUGAAUAGAGUGUAAAUAAGCAUUUCUGAGCAGCUAUUCACAUGUGAGGAAUAAUAUGUGGAAACGUGGUGAAAUGUGCUGAGGAGGCAGGUUGAGGCAUGCUUGCAGUAGGACACUAAAGCAGAGUAAAACAGACGGCUGGAAGGCCUGUUUUUAUUGUUCAGAGCCUUAAGAUCUGCAGCGAGUUGUCAUUACUCAAUGGGUUAUAGAAUGAGCCUCUUCAGCGUGAAGAGUAAUCCAGGGGCAAAUGGUUUUCUGAAGUAAGAUAACACAUAAACCCU